RNAcentral lists this ribosomal RNA (484 nucleotides) under uncultured bacterium. RNAcentral's name for it is "partial 16S ribosomal RNA". It matches the Rfam family "Bacterial small subunit ribosomal RNA", at positions 30 to 507 of the family's 1533-position model. The record is from RNAcentral.
AUUGAACGCUAGCGGGAUGCUUUACACAUGCAAGUCGAACGGCAGCGCGGACUUCGGUCUGGCGGCGAGUGGCGAACGGGUGAGUAAUGUAUCGGAACGUGCCCAGUAGCGGGGGAUAACUACGCGAAAGCGUAGCUAAUACCGCAUACGCCCUACGGGGGAAAGCAGGGGAUCGUAAGACCUUGCACUAUUGGAGCGGCCGAUAUCGGAUUAGCUAGUUGGUGAGGUAACGGCUCACCAAGGCGACGAUCCGUAGCUGGUUUGAGAGGACGACCAGCCACACUGGGACUGAGACACGGCCCAGACUCCUACGGGAGGCAGCAGUGGGGAAUUUUGGACAAUGGGGGCAACCCUGAUCCAGACAUCCCGCGUGUGCGAUGAAGGCCUUCGGGUUGUAAAGCACUUUUGGCAGGAAAGAAACGUCGCGGGCUAAUACCCCGUGGAACUGACGGUACCUGCAGAAUAAGCACCGGCUAACUACGUG